GACGAACGCUGGCGGCGUGCUUAACACAUGCAAGUCGAACGGAAGGGCCCUGCUUUUGUGGGGUGCUCGAGUGGCGAACGGGUGAGUAACACGUGAGUAACCUGCCCUUGACUUUGGGAUAACUUCAGGAAACUGGGGCUCAUACCGGAUAUGAUCUCCUGCUGCAUGGUGGGGGUUGGAAAGUUUCGGCGGUUGGGGAUGGACUCGCGGCUUAUCCGCUUGUUGGUGGGGUAGUGGCUUACCAAGGCUUCGAGGGCUAGCCGGCCUGAGAGGGGUACCGGCCACAUGGGGACUAAGAUACGGCGCAGACUCCAACGGGAGGCAGCGGGGGGAAAUAUGGCACAGUGGGCGGAAGCGUGAUGCGGAAACGCCGCGUGCGGGAUGACGGCCUUCGGGUUGUAAACCGCUUUCGCCUGUGACGAAGCGUGAGUGACGGUAAUGGGUAAAGAAGCACCGGCUAACUACGUG
RNAcentral lists this ribosomal RNA (468 nucleotides) under uncultured bacterium. RNAcentral's name for it is "partial 16S ribosomal RNA". It matches the Rfam family "Bacterial small subunit ribosomal RNA", at positions 28 to 507 of the family's 1533-position model. The record is from RNAcentral.